AGUGAACGCUGGCGGUAGGCCUAACACAUGCAAGUCGAACGGCAGCACAGGAGAGCUUGCUCUCUGGGUGGCGAGUGGCGGACGGGUGAGGAAUACAUCGGAAUCUACUCUGUCGUGGGGGAUAACGUAGGGAAAAUUACGCUAAUACCGCAUACGACCUACGGGUGAAAGCAGGGGACCUUCGGGCGCUGCGCGAUUGAAUGAGGCGGGUUCGUAUUAGAUAGUUGGCGGGGUAAAGGCCCACCAAGGCGACGAUCCGUAGCAGGUCUGAGAGGAUGAUCAGCCACACUGGAACUGAGACACGGUCCAGACUCCUACGGGAGGCAGCAGUGGGGAAUAUUGGACAAUGGGUGCAAGCCUGAUCCAGCCAUACCGCGUGGGUGAAGAAGGCCUUCGGGUUGUAAAGCCCUUUUGUUGGGAAAGAAAUCCAGCUGGCUAAUACCCGGUUGGGAUGACGGUACCCAAAGAAUAAGCACCGGCUAACUUCGUGCCAGCCGCCGCAGUAA
Molecule: ribosomal RNA, 506 nt
Filed under: uncultured bacterium
Lineage: Bacteria
Description: partial 16S ribosomal RNA
Rfam family: Bacterial small subunit ribosomal RNA
Source: RNAcentral